UCAAGCGAACAAGGGCGCAGGGCGAAUGCCUUGGCACUGGGAGCCGAUGAAAGACGUGAUAAGCUGCGAUAAGCCUCGGGGAGCUGCAAAUAAGCUUUGAUCCGGGGAUUUCUGAAUGAGGAAACUCACUUGGGUUCAUACUCAAGUACACUGUACUGAACUUAAAAAUAGGUGCAGUGAGGGAACCGCCUGAACUGAAACAUCUAAGUAGGGCGAGGAAGAGACAUCAAACGAGAUUCCGUAAGUAGUGGCGAGCGAACGCGGAAGAGGGCAAACCGGAGGUAGAAAUACCUCCGGGGUACGGACUGCUUUUAAGACUUAAGUUGCUAAUCGAACGGCAUGGGAAGGCCGGUCAGAGAGUGUGAGAACCACGUAGAUGAAAGCGACGAGAGCUGCGCAGGAUCCAGAGUACGGCCAGACACGUGAAACCUGGUCGGAAUACGGGGGGACCACCCUCCAACCCUAAAUACUACCCAGUGACCGAUAGCGUAUAGUACUGUGAAGGAAAGGUGAAAAGCACCCCGGGAGGGGAGUGAAAGAGAACCUGAAACCCUGUGCCUACAAGCACCUAGAGCACGUCAAAGUGUGAUAGGGUACUUUUUGUAGAACGGUCCGGCGAGCGAUUAUAUGCAGCAAGGUUAAGGUCUUAAGGACUGAAGCCGAAGCGAAAGCGAGUUUGAAUAGGGCGUUAAGUUGCAUAUAAUGGGCCCGAAACCGGGUGACCUACCCAUGGUCAGGUUGAAGUGGAAGUAAAAUUCCAUGGAGGACCGAACCGACCUCCGUUGAAAAGGCGGCGGAUGAACUGUGGGUAGCGGAGAAAUUCCAAUCGAACCCGGAGAUAGCUGGUUCUCCCCGAAAUAGUUUUAGGACUAGCCUCAACUUAGAUAUCUGGAGGUAAAGCACUGAAUAGCCUAGCGGCCGAGAGGUUAGCGAAGCUUAUCAAACUCAGAAUGCCAGAAUAUUGAUGGUUGGGAGUCAGACAGUGUCAGAUAAAUGUCAUUGUCAAAAGGGAAACAGCCCAGAUCUACAGCUAAGGUCCCAAAGUUAGGUUAAGUGGAAAACGAUGUGAAGAUACGCAGACAACCAGGAUGUUGGCUCAGAAGCAGCCACUCAUUCAAAGAGUGCGUAAUAGCUCACUGGUCGAGCGUCUUUGCGCGGAUAAUUUAACGGGGCUAAACCUAACACCGAAGCUUAGGCAGCAUGUUUACAUGCUGGGUAGGGGAGCGUUGUAUGCGCGGUGAAACAGUAGCGUAAGCGGCUGUGGAGUGCAUACAAGUGAGAAUGCCGGAAUGAGUAGCGCGAAUGCAGUGAGAAUCUGCAUGGCCGAAAGCCUCAGGUUUUUGGAGGAAGGUUCGUCCGCUCCAAGUUAGUCGGGAGCUAAGGUGAGGCCGGAAGGCGUAGCCGAUGCACAGACGGUAGAGAUUCCGUCACCACCAAAAGAGUUAAGCACAGGGACACAUUCAAAGUCUCAGAGCCGGGUGUUGGUUCCGGUAGAGAUCGAGGGAAAAUAGUACCGAAGUCUGGGAUGGAGGAUGGCGAGAAAAGCUGUGUGUAUUUCUGCGGUGCCCGUACCGCAAACCGACACAGGUAGGUAGGAAGAAGAUUCUAAGGCCAACGGGAGAAGGGUUGUUAAGGAACUCGGCAAAUUGACCCCGUAACUUCGGGAGAAGGGGUGCUCUAGCAAUAGAGCCGCAGAGAAUCGGCCCAAGCAACUGUUUACCAAAAACACAGGUUUGUGCUAAAUCGAAAGAUGACGUAUACGAGCUGACGCCUGCCCGGUGCUGGAAGGUUAAGAGGAGAUGUGCAAGCAUUGAAUCGAAGCCCCAGUGAACGGCGGCCGUAACUAUAACGGUCCUAAGGUAGCGAAAUUCCUUGUCAGGUAAG
Molecule: ribosomal RNA, 1884 nt
Filed under: human gut metagenome
Description: bacterial LSU rRNA
Rfam family: Bacterial large subunit ribosomal RNA
Source: RNAcentral